UCAUCUCACUCUCCACGGUGCGUCGCCAA
Molecule: small RNA, 29 nt
Filed under: Bombyx mori (domestic silkworm)
Lineage: Eukaryota; Metazoa; Arthropoda; Insecta; Lepidoptera; Bombycidae
Description: ovarian small RNA-26162
Source: RNAcentral